This is a long non-coding RNA of Cherax quadricarinatus, 1456 nucleotides long. RefSeq lists it as uncharacterized. The record is from RefSeq and is a predicted model, not a curated record. NCBI's taxonomy places the organism in Eukaryota, Metazoa, Arthropoda, Malacostraca, Decapoda, Parastacidae.
UGGUGUUACCUCCCUGGUGGUCAACUGCAACUGUGGUGUUACCUCCCUGGUGGUCAACUCCAGUAACUGGGGGUGUUACCUCCCUGGUGGUCAACUCCUGCAACUGAACGUAGUCUGUCUACGAAGCUGAGUCUGAAAUAAGGAGUGUGUGUUCACUUCAGCCAGAGUGCCUGGCUGGAGAUUGAGGUUCUGUGUGUUGCGGGAGGCUAUUAGGUCCACAUUCGUGGGACAUUCACCAUAUAUAACUCAAGAAAGUAAAAAAUAUUCCGCUUGACCUUGAAUAAAACUGAUUGCAUGGACCAGUUAUACUGAAGAAAUAGUGAACAUGGAAAUGCUGUUUUUUAUGAGAUAAUUUAUGAAUUCCUCAUACGACUGGCUUCAAACUCAUAUUUUGAUAAUUUGCCGAUAAUUUGAGAAUGCAUUUUCUGAGCGGCUUCAAACUUAAUGCUGAUGUAUUUUGGGAUAUCUAUUUCUGUGAGAUAAUUAGAGACAUCCUCAUCAGACCGGCUUUACACUUCGACAAUUACUGUGUUUUAAUGGGAUGUUCGAAGUGGUGUUGGGUUGUGUAGGCGAUAAUUUAUCAUUUUUGUUAAAGUAACUGGAGUAAUUUCCAAGUGAUAACUUGCUGAUAUAUAACUGCAGUAAAAUCUUAUGCUGCGCUCUGCACAAUGCUUUUUUGUGUAUUGAGUUAGAGGCGGCGGGGCUACGGAAUUGCUGUUCCCGGACUGACCGGCGGUUGAAACACAUCUCUUCCCUUAAGGGAAGUUCCUUGAUGCUGGUGAGGGGCUCUUGAUCUAAAGAAUUGGAUCUGUGCUCCGGUUCCCUGAAUUGAGUCUGAAUACCUUCCAUCCCCCCACAUGCGCUGUAUAAUCCUACAGGUUUAGCGCUCCCCCAUGAUUAUAAUAAUAAUUAAACCCAUCUCGUUCUGAUGUACGUUGGAAGACAGCCACUGAAUGACUGACGGUGAAUGUGGUUUCCUUAACUGGGUCAUCCUAAUUUGGUGAGAGACGGGCGAUGUAGUAGAGAGAAAAAAAUUACACGUCUGGAUUGUUUUGAACACAAGAUUUCGUAUAUAAUUCCUCUCCAUACCUCGGUGUUCUCAAUAGGCAAAUCUCUCUUACAAAAGGCUGUAGCAACCUGCAGGUAACUGACUUCUUUGUCAUAGGGGUAGAAAGCUCGACAAUAUAGAAAACAAAGGUUGUGCUAUUGUUUGUUUAUGGUAAAGGCUAAUUACAAACACAGGACUGUCGUUGUUUGUUCAUGUGCGCUUAUGAAUGAGGUCGUUUACCUUAUGGUUAGGCUGCUUGCAUAAAUCUGUACUUGAUAACCUUAACAUCUUUUCAAGAUGACCUUAACAGAUCAUAGCAGCAACAACAGAUUAUUAGCUCAGUUUUCCGUGAUCCAGGAAAUUAAAGUACAAGUCCCUUUCCUCCGAUCAAAUCUGAUUGCUUCCCAU